This 67-nucleotide transfer RNA is filed under the name Marmota monax (woodchuck). RNAcentral describes it as "tRNA.Ala". Lineage: Eukaryota; Metazoa; Chordata; Mammalia; Rodentia; Sciuridae. The record is from RNAcentral.
GGAUUGUGGCUCAGUGGUAGAAUGCUCGCCUAGCACGGGCGGGACCUGGGUUUGAUCCUCAGCACCA